GACGAACGCUGGCGGCGUGCUUAACACAUGCAAGUCGAACGGAAAGGCCCCUUUGGGGGUACUCGAGUGGCGCACGGGUGAGUAACACGUGAGUAACCUGCCCUUGACUUCGGGAUAACUUCAGGAAACUGGGGCUAAUACCGGAUAGGAAUCCUUGCUGCAUGGUGGGGGUUGGAAAGCUUCGGCGGUUUUGGAUGGACUCGCGGCUUAUCAGCUUGUUGGUGGGGUAGUGGCUUACCAAGGCUUUGACGGGUAGCCGGCCUGAGAGGGCGACCGGCCACAUUGGGACUGAGAUGCGGCCCAGACUCCUACGGGAGGCAGCAGUGGGGAAUAUUGCACAAUGGGCGGAAGCCUGAUGCAGCAACGCCGCGUGCGGGGUGACGGCCUUCGGGUUGUAAACCGCUUUCAGCAGGGGCGAAGCUUGUGGUGACGGUACCUGCAGAAGAAGCACCGGCUAACUACGUG
This 465-nucleotide ribosomal RNA is filed under the name uncultured bacterium. Its description in RNAcentral is "partial 16S ribosomal RNA". It matches the Rfam family "Bacterial small subunit ribosomal RNA", at positions 28 to 507 of the family's 1533-position model. The record is from RNAcentral.